Molecule: long non-coding RNA, 382 nt
Organism: Micropterus dolomieu (smallmouth bass)
Lineage: Eukaryota; Metazoa; Chordata; Actinopteri; Centrarchiformes; Centrarchidae
Exons: 2
Source: RefSeq, a predicted model, not a curated record
CCCAAAUGUGAUGUGAGUGCUAUUGGUCUAUAACUUGAGGGGUCUGAUGGAUCUUUCCCAGGUUUUACUAUUGGUACUAUGAUUGAUUGUUUCCAUGCUAUUGGUAUUUUGCCUGUUUCCCAAAUCUGGUUAAAUAAUCUUAAAACUACAGUAAGUGCACUAUCUUCCAAGUGAGCUAACAUGCUAUAACAGAUGUUGUCCUUCCCUGGAGAUGAUUGUCUUGUCUUUGAGAUAGCCCUCCUUAACUCAAAUAAGCUAAAUGGUACAUCUAAAUCAUCAGUUGUUGUGCUCUUCUGUAUAUUGACACCUGGGUUCAUGGCAAGAGUGUUAUCUCUGCACUUUCUGGCUUCGACUAAUAAAUUAUCUGAACUGUGUACUUUAA